RNAcentral lists this unclassified non-coding RNA (271 nucleotides) under Human mastadenovirus B. Lineage: Varidnaviria; Bamfordvirae; Preplasmiviricota; Pharingeaviricetes; Rowavirales; Adenoviridae. The record is from RNAcentral.
UUGGAGCUCUNAGACCGGNAAAAAUGGAAAGCGUUCAGCGACUCCCCUCCGAUAGCCUGGAGGAACGUGUAACGGNUUGGGUCGCGGUGUACCCCGGUUCGAGACUUGUACUCGAGCCGGCCGGAGCCGCGGCUAACGUGGUAUUGGCACUCCCGUCUCGACCCAGCCUACAAAAAUCCAGGAUACGGAAUCGAGUCGUUUUGCUGGUUGCCGAAUGGCAGGGAAGUGAGUCCUAUUUUUUUUUUUUGCCCCCCAAANGCNNCCCNNGCUG